GAUGAACGCUGGCGGCGUGCUUAACACAUGCAAGUCGAACGAAGUUGUACGAACAGAAGCCUUCGGGUGGAAGAUUGUAUAACUUAGUGGCGGACGGGUGAGUAACACGUGAGCAACCUGCCUUUCACAGUGGAAUAACAACAGGAAACUGUUGCUAAUACCGCAUAAUAUCUAGAUAAGGCAUCUUAUUUAGAUCAAAGAUUUAUCGGUGAAAGAUGGGCUCGCGUCCGAUUAGCUAGUUGGUGGGGUAAAGGCCUACCAAGGCGACGAUCGGUAGCCGGACUGAGAGGUUGAACGGCCACAUUGGGACUGAGACACGGCCCAGACUCCUACGGGAGGCAGCAGUGGGGAAUAUUGGGCAAUGGGCGCAAGCCUGACCCAGCAACGCCGCGUGAAGGAUGAAGGUCUUCGGAUUGUAAACUUCUUUGGUCAGGGACGAAACAAAUGACGGUACCUGAAGAACAAGCCACGGCUAACUACGUGCCAGCAGCCGCGGUAAUACGUAGGUGGCGAGCGUUAUCCGGAUUUACUGGGUGUAAAGGGCGUGUAGGCGGUUUUUUAAGAUGGAUGUGAAAUCCCCAGGCUCAACCUGGGAGGGUCAUCCAUAACUGGAGAACUUGAGUGUCGGAGAGGAAAGCGGAAUUCCUAGUGUAGCGGUAAAAUGCGUAGAUAUUAGGAGGAACACCAGUGGCGAAGGCGGCUUUCUGGACGAUAACUGACGCUAAGGCGCGAAAGCGUGGGGAGCAAACAGG
This 752-nucleotide ribosomal RNA is filed under the name uncultured bacterium. RNAcentral's name for it is "bacterial SSU rRNA". It matches the Rfam family "Bacterial small subunit ribosomal RNA", at positions 28 to 776 of the family's 1533-position model. The record is from RNAcentral.